GCCCCAACCAAUAGUAUAUAAAACUUAUAUGUAAUGCUUUGCACCACAAAAACAGAAAAAAAUAAUCUGGGUUGUGUCAAUUUUUCCGUUCUAUCGUAAUGCCCCUUUAGAAAUGAAAAAAUGGUCGAAUUUUUCGUUUUCAUUCUCUAAGUUAUGUUUGCCUCAACAAAAUGUUAAAGAAUUACACAAUACGUAUUACCCCAAAACUCAGAUCAAGUUGGAAUAGCGGGUCAUCAUUCAUGUAUGUGUCCCGUGGACAAAACUUGAAGUGUGGCGAAGAAAAUGAACAUGAAGCAACG
This 299-nucleotide long non-coding RNA is filed under the name Mytilus galloprovincialis (Mediterranean mussel). Lineage: Eukaryota; Metazoa; Mollusca; Bivalvia; Mytilida; Mytilidae. The record is from RNAcentral.